RNAcentral lists this ribosomal RNA (254 nucleotides) under uncultured bacterium. Its description in RNAcentral is "partial 16S ribosomal RNA". It matches the Rfam family "Bacterial small subunit ribosomal RNA", at positions 524 to 777 of the family's 1533-position model. The record is from RNAcentral.
UACAGGGGGGGCAAGCGUUGUUCGGAAUUACUGGGCGUAAAGGGCCAGUAGGCGGCCAACUAAGUCACACGUGAAAUCCCCAGGCUUAACCUGGGAACUGCGUGUGAUACUGGAUGGCUUGAAUUCGGGAGAGGGAUGCAGAAUUCCAGGUGUAGCGGUGAAAUGCGUAGAUAUCUGGAGGAAUACCGGUGGCGAAGGCGGCAUCCUGGACCGACAUUGACGCUGAACGGCGAAAGCUAGGGGAGCGAAACGGG